GACAGAGGAUGCAAGCGUUAUCCGGAAUGAUUGGGCGUAAAGCGUCUGUAGGUGGCUUUUUAAGUCCGUCCGUUAAAUCCUAGGGCUCAACCCUGGACAGGCGGUGGAAACUACCAAGCUGGAGUACGGUAGGGGCAGGAGGGAAUUUCCGGUGGAGCGUGAAAUGCGUAGAGAUCGGAAAGAACACCAACGGCGAAAGCAACUCUGCUGGGCCGACACUGACACUGAGAGACGAAAGCUAGGGGAGCGAAUGGG
Molecule: ribosomal RNA, 255 nt
Filed under: uncultured bacterium
Lineage: Bacteria
Description: partial 16S ribosomal RNA
Rfam family: Bacterial small subunit ribosomal RNA
Source: RNAcentral